Molecule: non-coding RNA, 206 nt
Filed under: unclassified sequences
Description: raiA RNA
Rfam family: raiA RNA
Source: Rfam by way of RNAcentral
GCAUCACAGGUCUGUGGCUGAAAGUCGAUGGCAGUCGCAGCCAAAACGAUCCACGUAACGCAGUCAAAAGGGCUGCUGAGCAUGGUGCGGUUUAGAAGUAAGUCCUGCCGGGAAAACCGAGAGAGUGAGUUGUGAGAGGCAAGCGCCGGGUAGCUAAAGCUCCAGCAGGCGAGUGUGGGGUCAAAAGCCAGGUCAGCUGUAGAUGC